This 260-nucleotide ribosomal RNA is filed under the name uncultured bacterium. RNAcentral's name for it is "partial 16S ribosomal RNA". It matches the Rfam family "Bacterial small subunit ribosomal RNA", at positions 94 to 354 of the family's 1533-position model. The record is from RNAcentral.
AGCGGCGGACGGGUGAGUAACGCGUGGGUAACCUGCCUUAUACAGGGGGAUAACAGUUAGAAAUGACUGCUAAUACCGCAUAAGCGCACAGUACCGCAUGGUACAGUGUGAAAAACUCCGGUGGUAUAAGAUGGACCCGCGUCUGAUUAGCCAGUUGGCGGGGUAACGGCCCACCAAAGCGACGAUCAGUAGCCGACCUGAGAGGGUGACCGGCCACAUUGGGACUGAGACACGGCCCAAACUCCUACGGAAGGCAGCAG